RNAcentral lists this ribosomal RNA (206 nucleotides) under uncultured bacterium. Its description in RNAcentral is "partial 16S ribosomal RNA". It matches the Rfam family "Bacterial small subunit ribosomal RNA", at positions 568 to 774 of the family's 1533-position model. The record is from RNAcentral.
UGCGCAGGCGGUUUUGUAAGACAGUGGUGAAAUCCCCGGGCUCAACCUGGGAACUGCCAUUGUGACUGCAAAGCUAGAGUGCGGCAGAGGGGGAUGGAAUUCCGCGUGUAGCAGUGAAAUGCGUAGAUAUGCGGAGGAACACCGAUGGCGAAGGCAAUCCCCUGGGCCUGCACUGACGCUCAUGCACGAAAGGCUGGGAGCAAACA